RNAcentral lists this ribosomal RNA (910 nucleotides) under uncultured bacterium. RNAcentral's name for it is "bacterial SSU rRNA". It matches the Rfam family "Bacterial small subunit ribosomal RNA", at positions 17 to 920 of the family's 1533-position model. The record is from RNAcentral.
UCCUGGCUCAGGAUGAACGCUGGCGGCGUGCCUAAUACAUGCAAGUCGAGCGAGGUUCUUCGGAACCUAGCGGCGGACGGGUGAGUAACACGUGGGUAACCUGCCUGUAAGACCGGGAUAACUUCGGGAAACCGAAGCUAAUACCGGAUACUUUCGAGCAUCGCAUGAUGCUUGAUGGAAAGACGGCUUCGGCUGUCACUUACAGAUGGACCCGCGUCGCAUUAGCUAGUUGGUGAGGUAACGGCUCACCAAGGCGACGAUGCGUAGCCGACCUGAGAGGGUGAUCGGCCACACUGGAACUGAGACACGGCCCAGACUCCUACGGGAGGCAGCAGUAGGGAAUCUUCGGCAAUGGGCGAAAGCCUGACCGAGCAACGCCGCGUGAGCGAUGAAGGCCUUCGGGUCGUAAAGCUCUGUUGUUAAGGAAGAACAAGUACGAGAGUAACUGCUCGUACCUUGACGGUACUUAACGAGAAAGCCACGGCUAACUACGUGCCAGCAGCCGCGGUAAUACGUAGGUGGCGAGCGUUAUCCGGAAUUAUUGGGCGUAAAGCGCGCGCCGGCGGUUUCUUAAGUCUGAUGUGAAAGCCCACGGCUCAACCGUGGAGGGUCAUUGGAAACUGGGAAACUAGAGUGCAGAAGAGGAAAGCGGAAUUCCACGUGUAGCGGUGAAAUGCGUAGAGAUGUGGAGGAACACCAGUGGCGAAGGCGGCUUUCUGGUCUGUAACUGACGCUGAGGCGCGAAAGCGUGGGGAGCAAACAGGAUUAGAUACCCUGGUAGUCCACGCCGUAAACGAUGAGUGCUAAGUGUUAGAGGGUUUCCCGCCCUUUAGUGCUGAAGUUAACGCAUUAAGCACUCCGCCUGGGGAGUACGGUCGCAAGACUGAAACUCAAAGGAAUUGACGGGGGC